This is a long non-coding RNA of Myotis brandtii (Brandt's bat), 121 nucleotides long. RefSeq lists it as uncharacterized. The record is from RefSeq and is a predicted model, not a curated record. NCBI's taxonomy places the organism in Eukaryota, Metazoa, Chordata, Mammalia, Chiroptera, Vespertilionidae. The transcript has 3 exons.
CCCGAGGUGAAGUGGGACUCCCCGGCGUCAAAGGUGACAGAGGUUCUAUCGGACCACCAGGACCUAAAGGUGACCAGGGUGAGAAAGGACCCCGAGGCCUCACAGGUCAGUCCUACAUGGG